RNAcentral lists this unclassified non-coding RNA (159 nucleotides) under uncultured Helotiales. RNAcentral describes it as "sequence contains ITS1". Lineage: Eukaryota; Fungi; Ascomycota; Leotiomycetes; Helotiales. The record is from RNAcentral.
CAGAGUUCAUGCCCUCACGGGUAGAUCUCCCACCCUUGAAUACUAUACCUUUGUUGCUUUGGCGGGCCGCUUCGGCUACCGGCUCUGGCUGGUAAGUGCCCGCCAAAGGACCCCUAAACUCUGAACAUUAGUGUCGUCCGAGUAACUAUAUAAUAGUUA